Molecule: non-coding RNA, 72 nt
Filed under: unclassified sequences
Description: L31-Actinobacteria ribosomal protein leader
Rfam family: L31-Actinobacteria ribosomal protein leader
Source: RNAcentral
GCGGUACCGGUUCACGCCCCCGGCGCUCACAGCUCAGUAGCGUUGCGAACGCCGCCCGGCGACCCGGCGACC